Molecule: non-coding RNA, 178 nt
Filed under: Clostridia bacterium
Lineage: Bacteria; Bacillati; Bacillota; Clostridia
Description: 6S RNA
Rfam family: 6S / SsrS RNA
About the family: E. coli 6S RNA was the first non coding RNA to be sequenced, but its function was unknown until recently. It consists of 184 nucleotides that fold into an extended hairpin structure with a large single-stranded internal bulge. The 6S RNA specifically associates with RNA polymerase holoenzyme containing the sigma70 specificity factor.
Source: RNAcentral
AAAAUCCUGUGGUGUGCGUUAUCCCUCGGUUAUAAACCCACAGUAUAACGCCGGGAGCGUGUGUCAAUAGGCCGAUGUUGCUUUGAUUUUAUCUUAGUAAGCAAGAGCCGUUGCAGCGCACCCACCUGCCUUUGAGGCGGGUGUUAUGGCGAGGGACGGACGGCACUCUGGGAUUUCC